CCAGCAACUUGGAGGAAUGUAUAGCGAAAGCUAAUUGUAUGAAAAUAUGCAAUAUCAAAUAGUUGAAUAAAAUUCUGGAUAAAAUUUGAUAAUGACAUUUUUUAUUCAUAUGUCUUGACCAAAAAACGUGCCAGCAGUCGCGGUAACACGUUUAAGACUAGUGUUAUUCAUCUUUAAUAGGUUUAAAGGGUACUUAGACGGUAGAUAAAGCCUUUAUGGUACUAAUCUGCUAGAGUUACUUGUGAGGAGGCCUAAAAGUACUAUUGGUUUAGAGAUAAAAUGCUACAAGACCACCUUUCAAAGGGAUAGUAAAUGGCACAGGUAAAGGCGAAAGCGUCCUCCUAUGUGAUAACUGACGUUGAAGGACGAAGGCUUUGAAUAGCGAAUAGGAUUAGAUACCCUAGUAGUCGAAGCAGAAAAUGAUGAGUGUCAUAAGCUAGACAUAUGUUUAGUUUAUAAAUGAAAGUGUAAGCACUCCACCUUAUGAGUAAAGUGGCAACGCCGGAAUUGAAAUCAUUAGACCGUUUCUGAAACCAGUAGUGAAGUAUGUUGUUUAAUUUGAUGACCCACAAAAAACCUUACCACAACUUGAAUAUUUAUUUUUUUUUUUAUUAUAAAAAAUAUCUACAAGCGUUGCACGGCUGUCUUCAGUUAAUGUCGUGAGAUUUGGUUAGAUCCAUUAAAUUAACGUAAACCCUUGCAUUAUUUAUAAAUAAUGCAGUUCAACCACCACAACGGAUAUGAUAACAGGGACUAAGACAAGUCAUCAUGGCCCGAAUGUUG
RNAcentral lists this ribosomal RNA (783 nucleotides) under Bacidia schweinitzii. Its description in RNAcentral is "SSU rRNA". It matches the Rfam family "Bacterial small subunit ribosomal RNA", at positions 348 to 1209 of the family's 1533-position model. Lineage: Eukaryota; Fungi; Ascomycota; Lecanoromycetes; Lecanorales; Ramalinaceae. The record is from RNAcentral.